GGGCUCCCCAAGCAACCGGAGGCCAAUAUCGGCUUGAGGCUGGCCUGCUGCACUCCUGGUGCACUGUUCCUUCUUGAUAUCUGGGUGAGCAGGAAGUGCAUAGCCACACAUGCACACACACAAAUUGUGCUGUGGUGAAACGUACGUUCAGUGAAACACAGCACUCCGGAGGACUGUGGCUGAGUCUCGGCGAUGGACAGAGAACUGUGGCCCUGGCUGAGGAUGUGACGAUUGUUAACCAGGCUUGAACAAUCUGACUUCCCCUGUGGUCUGAAGCGCUGCCACUCUUCACAGGUGACACUGGCAUGUGCUUGGGUUGGCUUCAGGGCUCUCUGCUAAGCCCUGAAAUCUGCUGAUGUGCUUGUGCUCAUGCUCUUCCUUCAGGGGUUUGCAGUGGCACAUGCUCGGAAUACUCUUUCUAGCGAUUGUCCUGCCUAUUCUUGUUUAUGAGAUGCUUUCCCAAAAGAAUCUUACAACCAGUGUGUCUACUAUGUCCCAUUUCCUUUGGCACUUCAUUGUAAUUUGCAUUAUUCAGACAGAUUUAGGGUUAGGUCUUCCUGUGUGAGAACAGAGCCCUCUUGCUGUCUCAGCAGUGCCCCAUGAUCCCCAGGAGUACCCGAAGAUCUUCUUGCAUGUUUUUCAACUUCAUUUCUCGUGCUGCUCCUGUUUGGGAAUCUCUUUCUCGUCCUCUUUUCUGAUAUCUGUGUGUUCAGAGGCUCCUGGUUAUUGGUGUGUGCCCAGCGGUAGAGCUUCUGCUUGACACUUGCCUGGCGGGAGGGAGAUUGGAGACAGAUGUGCCUUAUUGUUUGAGAGACCACAGAGCUGCAGUAGCUAUCAACUGCCGUGUAACAAGCCACCCAAACCUAGUGCUUAAAACCACAAUAAACAUUUAUGAUCUCGCUGCUGGAA
Marmota flaviventris (yellow-bellied marmot) is the source of this 909-nucleotide long non-coding RNA. RefSeq lists it as uncharacterized. The record is from RefSeq and is a predicted model, not a curated record. Lineage: Eukaryota; Metazoa; Chordata; Mammalia; Rodentia; Sciuridae.